Molecule: ribosomal RNA, 497 nt
Filed under: uncultured bacterium
Lineage: Bacteria
Description: partial 16S ribosomal RNA
Rfam family: Bacterial small subunit ribosomal RNA
Source: RNAcentral
GAUGAACGCUGGCGGCGUGCCUAAUACAUGCAAGUCGAGCGAACGGACGAGAAGCUUGCUUCUCUGAUGUUAGCGGCGGACGGGUGAGUAACACGUGGAUAACCUACCUAUAAGACUGGGAUAACUUCGGGAAACCGGAGCUAAUACCGGAUAAUAUUUUGAACCGCAUGGUUCAAAAGUGAAAGACAGUCUUGCUGUCACUUAUAGAUGGAUCCGCGCUGCAUUAGCUAGUUGGUAAGGUAACGGCUUACCAAGGCAACGAUGCAUAGCCGACCUGAGAGGGUGAUCGGCCACACUGGAACUGAGACACGGUCCAGACUCCUACGGGAGGCAGCAGUAGGGAAUCUUCCGCAGUGGGCGAAAGCCUGACGGAGCAACGCCGCGUGAGUGAUGAAGGUCUUCGGAUCGUAAAACUCUGUUAUUAGGGAAGAACAUAUGUGUAAGUAACUGUGCACAUCUUGACGGUACCUAAUCAGAAAGCCACGGCUAACUACGUG